UGGGGAAUUUUACGCAAUGGGCGAAAGCCUGACGUAGCGACACCGCGUGAGCGAAGAAGCCCUUUGGGGUGUAAAGCUCUGUCAGCUGGAACGAAAAAAAUGACGGUACCAGCAGAGGAAGCAUCGGCUAACUACGUGCCAGCAGCCGCGGUAAGACGUAGGAUGCGAGCGUUGUCCGGAUUUAUUGGGCGUAAAGAGUUCGUAGGUGGUUUGUUAAGUCUGAUGUUAAAGAUUGGGGCUCAACCCUGAAAAUGCAUUGGAUACUGGCAGACUUGAGUGUGGUAGAGGCUAGUGGAAUUCCCAGUGUAGCGGUGAAAUGCGUAGAUAUUGGGAAGAACACCGGUGGCGUAGGCGACUAGCUGGGCCAUAACUGACACUGAGGAACGAAAGCCAGGGUAGCGAAU
Molecule: ribosomal RNA, 404 nt
Filed under: uncultured bacterium
Lineage: Bacteria
Description: bacterial SSU rRNA
Rfam family: Bacterial small subunit ribosomal RNA
Source: RNAcentral